RNAcentral lists this ribosomal RNA (503 nucleotides) under uncultured bacterium. RNAcentral describes it as "partial 16S ribosomal RNA". It matches the Rfam family "Bacterial small subunit ribosomal RNA", at positions 28 to 505 of the family's 1533-position model. The record is from RNAcentral.
GACGAACGCUGGCGGCGUGCCUAAUACAUGCAAGUAGAACGCACAGUUUAUACCGUAGCUUGCUCCACCAUAAACUGUGAGUUGCGAACGGGUGAGUAACGCGUAGGUAACCUGCCUGGUAGCGGGGGAUAACUAUUGGAAACGAUAGCUAAUACCGCAUAAUAUUAAUUAUUGCAUGAUAAUUGAUUGAAAGAUGCAAUUGCAUCACUACCAGAUGGACCUGCGUUGUAUUAGCUAGUAGGUGAGGUAACGGCUCACCUAGGCGACGAUACAUAGCCGACCUGAGAGGGUGAUCGGCCACACUGGGACUGAGACACGGCCCAGACUCCUACGGGAGGCAGCAGUAGGGAAUCUUCGGCAAUGGACGAAAGUCUGACCGAGCAACGCCGCGUGAGUGAAGAAGGUUUUCGGAUCGUAAAGCUCUGUUGUAAGAGAAGAACGGGUGUGAGAGUGGAAAGUUCACACUGUGACGGUAUCUUACCAGAAAGGGACGGCUAACUACG